AGGACGAACGCUGGCGGCGUGCCUAACACAUGCAAGUGGAGCGACGAACCAGGCUUCGGCCUGGGGCAAAGCCGCGAACGGGUGAGUAACACGUGGGUAACCUGCCCUGAUGAUUGGGACAACCCGAGGAAACUCGGGCUAAUACCAAAUGUGCCCUCUGGCCGUAAGGCCUGUGGGGAAAGGAAGCUUCGGCCUCCGCAUCGGGAUGGGCCCGCGGCCCAUUAGCUUGUUGGUGAGGUAACGGCUCACCAAGGCUACGAUGGGUAGCUGGUCUGAGAGGACGAUCAGCCACACUGGGACUGAGACACGGCCCAGACUCCUACGGGAGGCAGCAGUGGGGAAUCUUGCGCAAUGCGCGAAAGCGUGACGCAGCAACGCCGCGUGGGGGAAGACGGCCUUCGGGUUGUAAACCCCUUUCAAGCAGGGACGAUAAUGACGGUACCUGCAGAAGAAGCUCCGGCCAACUACGUGCCAGCAGCCGCGGU
Molecule: ribosomal RNA, 485 nt
Filed under: uncultured bacterium
Lineage: Bacteria
Description: SSU rRNA
Rfam family: Bacterial small subunit ribosomal RNA
Source: RNAcentral